Non-coding RNA from Phrynosoma platyrhinos (Desert horned lizard), 72 nucleotides. NCBI's taxonomy places the organism in Eukaryota, Metazoa, Chordata, Lepidosauria, Squamata, Phrynosomatidae. The record is from the annotation of a GenBank genome assembly.
GCCAGUGUGGUGUACUGGUUUGCGUGUUGGACUAGGACUCUGAACACCAGGGUUCAAAUCCCUGCUCACACA